GACGAACGCUGGCGGCGUGCCUAACACAUGCAAGUAGAACGCUGAAGGCGGAGUUUGCUUCGCUGGAUGAGUUGCGAACGGGUGAGUAACGCGUAGGUAACCUGCCUGUUAGCGGGGGAUAACUAUUGGAAACGAUAGCUAAUACCGCAUAAUAGUAGAUGCUGCAUGACAUUUGCUUGAAAGGUGCGAUUGCAUCACUACGAGAUGGACCUGCGUUGCAUUAGGUAGUAGGUGGGGUAACGGCUCACCAAGGCGGCUAUACAUAGCGGACCUGAGAGGGGGAUAGGCCGAGCUGGGACGGGAAGACGGCCCAGAAUCCUAGGGGAGGCAGCAGGAGGGAAUCUUCAGCAAUGGACGGAGGUGGGACCGAGCAGCGCCGCGUGAGUGAAGAAGGUUUUCGGGUCGUAAAGAUCUGUUGUGAGAUAAGAACGGGUGUGUGAGUGGAAAGUUCAGAUAGUGACGGUAUCUGACCAAGAAGCGACGGCUAACUACGUG
Molecule: ribosomal RNA, 495 nt
Filed under: uncultured bacterium
Lineage: Bacteria
Description: partial 16S ribosomal RNA
Rfam family: Bacterial small subunit ribosomal RNA
Source: RNAcentral